Molecule: ribosomal RNA, 468 nt
Filed under: uncultured bacterium
Lineage: Bacteria
Description: partial 16S ribosomal RNA
Rfam family: Bacterial small subunit ribosomal RNA
Source: RNAcentral
GACGAACGCUGGCGGCGUGCUUAACACAUGCAAGUCGAACGGAAAGGCCCUGCUUUUGUGGGGUGCUCGAGUGGCGAACGGGUGAGUAACACGUGAGUAACCUGCCCUUGACUUUGGGAUAACUUCAGGAAACUGGGGCUAAUACCGGAUAGGAGCUCCUGCUGCAUGGUGGGGGUUGGAAAGUUUCGGCGGUUGGGGAUGGACUCGCGGCUUAUCAGCUUGUUGGUGGGGGAGUGGCUUACCAAGGCUUUGACGGGUAGCCGGCCUGAGAGGGUGACCGGCGACAUUGGGACUGAGAUACGGCCCAGACUCCUACGGGAGGCAGCAGUGGGGAAUAUUGCACAAUGGGCGGAAGCCUGAUGCAGAAGCGCCGCGUGCGGGAUGACGGCCUUCGGGUUGUAAACCGCUUUCGCCUGUGACGAAGCGUGAGUGACGGUAAUGGGUAAAGAAGCACCGGCUAACUACGUG